AGAACGAACGCUGGCGGCAGGCUUAACACAUGCAAGUCGAACGCGUGUAGCAAUACACGAGUGGCGCACGGGUGAGUAACGCGUGGAUAUCUGCCUUUUGGUUCGGAAUAACCCCGGGAAACUGGGGCUAAUACCGGAUAGUUCCUACGGGAUAAAGAUUUAUCGCCAAAAGAUGAGUCCGCGUACGAUUAGCUAGUUGGUGAGGUAAUGGCUCACCAAGGCGACGAUCGUUAGCUGGUCUGAGAGGACGAUCAGCCACACUGGGACUGAGACACGGCCCAGACUCCUACGGGAGGCAGCAGUGGGGAAUAUUGGACAAUGGGGGCAACCCUGAUCCAGCCAUGCCGCGUGAGUGAUGAAGGCCUUCGGGUUGUAAAGCUCUUUUGGCGGGGACGAUGAUGACGGUACCCGCAGAUAAGCCCCGGCUAACUUCGUGCCAGCAGCCGC
Molecule: ribosomal RNA, 447 nt
Filed under: uncultured bacterium
Lineage: Bacteria
Description: SSU rRNA
Rfam family: Bacterial small subunit ribosomal RNA
Source: RNAcentral